UUCCUGAUCUUUAGUUGAAAUCUCCUUGCUUGCAACUUGAAGCCAUUGGUCCCACCCUCCAGAGCAAGGAAGAACAAGCUUGCUCCCUCCUCCUUGAGAUAUUUGAAGAUGGCUAUCAUAUCUCCUCUCAGUCUCCUCUCCUCUUUUUCCAGGAUAAACAUACCCAGUUCCCUCAA
Podarcis lilfordi (Lilford's wall lizard) is the source of this 176-nucleotide non-coding RNA. The record is from the annotation of a GenBank genome assembly. NCBI's taxonomy places the organism in Eukaryota, Metazoa, Chordata, Lepidosauria, Squamata, Lacertidae.